AACCGCCGUAUACGAGACCCGUAUGUACGGUGGUGUGAGAGGCGCACUCCGUCAUUACUGGCGGAGCCGUCUACUCGAU
This 79-nucleotide non-coding RNA is filed under the name Flavobacterium sp. 1. Lineage: Bacteria; Pseudomonadati; Bacteroidota; Flavobacteriia; Flavobacteriales; Flavobacteriaceae. The record is from RNAcentral.